Molecule: ribosomal RNA, 443 nt
Filed under: uncultured soil bacterium
Lineage: Bacteria
Description: bacterial SSU rRNA
Rfam family: Bacterial small subunit ribosomal RNA
Source: RNAcentral
AGAACGAACGCUGGCGGCAUGCCUAAUACAUGCAAGUCGAACGAAGGCUUCGGCCUUAGUGGCGCACGGGUGCGUAACGCGUGGGAAUCUGCCCCUUGGUUCGGAAUAACAGUUGGAAACGACUGCUAAUACCGGAUGAUGACGAAAGUCCAAAGAUUUAUCGCCAAGGGAUGAGCCCGCGUAGGAUUAGCUAGUUGGUGAGGUAAAGGCUCACCAAGGCGACGAUCCUUAGCUGGUCUGAGAGGAUGAUCAGCCACACUGGGACUGAGACACGGCCCAGACUCCUACGGGAGCAGCAGUAGGGAAUAUGGACAAUGGGCAAAGCCUGAUCCAGCAAUGCCGCGUGAGUGAUGAAGGCCUUAGGUGUAAAGCUCUUUUACCCGAGAUGAUAAUGACAGUAUCGGAGAAUAAGCCCCGGAUAAACUCCGACGCCAGUACGCCGC